This 70-nucleotide transfer RNA is filed under the name Camelus bactrianus (Bactrian camel). It matches the Rfam family "tRNA". From Rfam's summary of the family: Transfer RNA (tRNA) molecules are approximately 80 nucleotides in length. Their secondary structure includes four short double-helical elements and three loops (D, anti-codon, and T loops). Lineage: Eukaryota; Metazoa; Chordata; Mammalia; Artiodactyla; Camelidae. RNAcentral also lists the same sequence under 1 other name. The record is from Rfam by way of RNAcentral.
GAGGGUAUAGCUAAGCGGUAGUGUAUGCUUAGCAUACAUGAGGUCCUGGGUUCAAUCCUCAGUACCUCCA